UUUGGUCCCAAAUGGGAUAAGAACCCAAAACCAUUGCUUUGAAGCAAUGAAUGGCUUGUAUAAAGUUAUUUUGGGUUAGAAUAUGUUAUAAUACAAUGAAUUUGAUUUAUUACAAGUGCUUGAGAUACAUGAAGAAUGUUUAGAAGUGAGAAGAAAGACUUGUUGAUAUUUGGUCCCAAAUGGGAUAAGAACCCAACACCAUUGCUUUGAGGCAGUGAAUGGCUUGUAUAAAGUUAUUUUGGGUUCGAAUAUGUUAUAAUACAAUGAAUUUGAUUGAUUACAAGUGCUAGAGAUGCAUGAAGAAUGUUUAAAAGCGAGAAGAAAGACUUGUUGAUAUUUGGUCCCAAAU
This 349-nucleotide long non-coding RNA is filed under the name Capsella rubella. RNAcentral describes it as "long non-coding RNA (CRUB_LNC000350)". The record is from RNAcentral. Lineage: Eukaryota; Viridiplantae; Streptophyta; Magnoliopsida; Brassicales; Brassicaceae.